GUGGGGAAUAUUGGACAAUGGGCGAAAGCCUGAUCCAGCCAUGCCGCGUGUGUGAAGAAGGUCUUCGGAUUGUAAAGCACUUUAAGUUGGGAGGAAGGGCAGUAAGUUAAUACCUUGCUGUUUUGACGUUACCGACAGAAUAAGCACCGGCUAACUUCGUGCCAGCAGCCGCGGUAAUACGAAGGGUGCAAGCGUUAAUCGGAAUUACUGGGCGUAAAGCGCGCGUAGGUGGUUUUGUAAGUUGGAGGUGAAAUCCCCGGGCUCAACCUGGGAACUGCCUCCAAAACUGCAUGACUAGAGUACGGUAGAGGGUAGUGGAAUUUCCUGUGUAGCGGUGAAAUGCGUAGAUAUAGGAAGGAACACCAGUGGCGAAGGCGACUACCUGGACUGAUACUGACACUGAGGUGCGAAAGCAUGGGGAGCAAACAGGAUUAGAUACCCUUGUAGUCC
This 450-nucleotide ribosomal RNA is filed under the name uncultured bacterium. RNAcentral's name for it is "partial 16S ribosomal RNA". It matches the Rfam family "Bacterial small subunit ribosomal RNA", at positions 354 to 796 of the family's 1533-position model. The record is from RNAcentral.